CAGCAGUGGGGAAUAUUGCACAAUGGGGGAAACCCUGAUGCAGCGACGCCGCGUGAAGGAAGAAGUAUUUCGGUAUGUAAACUUCUAUCAGCAGGGAAGAAAAUGACGGUACCUGACUAAGAAGCCCCGGCUAACUACGUGCCAGCAGCCGCGGUAAUACGUAGGGGGCAAGCGUUAUCCGGAUUUACUGGGUGUAAAGGGAGCGUAGACGGACAUGCAAGUCUGGAGUGAAAGCCCGGGGCUCAACCCCGGGACUGCUUUGGAAACUGUGAGUCUGGAGUACCGGAGAGGCAGGCGGAAUUCCCAGUGUAGCGGUGAAAUGCGUAGAUAUUGGGAGGAACACCAGUGGCGAAGGCGGCCUGCUGGACGGUAACUGACGUUGAGGCUCGAAAGCGUGGGGAGCAAACAGGAUUAGA
RNAcentral lists this ribosomal RNA (416 nucleotides) under uncultured Lachnospiraceae bacterium. RNAcentral describes it as "bacterial SSU rRNA". It matches the Rfam family "Bacterial small subunit ribosomal RNA", at positions 349 to 782 of the family's 1533-position model. The record is from RNAcentral. Lineage: Bacteria; Bacillati; Bacillota; Clostridia; Lachnospirales; Lachnospiraceae.